This is a small nucleolar RNA of Suncus etruscus (white-toothed pygmy shrew), 66 nucleotides long. RefSeq annotates it as small nucleolar RNA SNORD58. NCBI's taxonomy places the organism in Eukaryota, Metazoa, Chordata, Mammalia, Eulipotyphla, Soricidae. The transcript has a single exon. The record is from RefSeq and is a predicted model, not a curated record.
CUGCGAUGAUGCCUAUCUUAGGACACCUUUGGAUUUGCCGUGAAAACAAAACCAAUUCUGAGCAGC